GAUGAACGCUAGCGGCAGGCCUAACACAUGCAAGUCGAACGGUAACAGGGAAAAGCUUGCUUUUCCGCUGACGAGUGGCGCACGGGUGCGUAACGCGUAUACAAUCUACCUCUUACAGGGGGAUAGCCUUUAGAAAUGAAGAUUAAUACCCCAUGGCAUUAUGAACCGGCAUCGGUUUGUAAUUAAAGUUUCGGCGGUAGGAGAUGAGUAUGCGUUCUAUUAGCUAGUAGGUGUGGUAACGGCACACCUAGGCAACGAUAGAUAGGGGCCCUGAGAGGGGGAUCCCCCACACUGGUACUGAGACACGGACCAGACUCCUACGGGAGGCAGCAGUGAGGAAUAUUGGACAAUGGGCGGAAGCCUGAUCCAGCCAUGCCGCGUGCAGGAAGACUGCCCUAUGGGUUGUAAACUGCUUUUGUACGGGAAGAAACCCAUCUACGUGUAGAUGGCUGACGGUACCGUAAGAAUAAGCAUCGGCUAACUCCG
RNAcentral lists this ribosomal RNA (486 nucleotides) under uncultured Coccinimonas sp. RNAcentral's name for it is "bacterial SSU rRNA". It matches the Rfam family "Bacterial small subunit ribosomal RNA", at positions 28 to 505 of the family's 1533-position model. Lineage: Bacteria; Pseudomonadati; Bacteroidota; Flavobacteriia; Flavobacteriales; Flavobacteriaceae. The record is from RNAcentral.